GCACAUUGCAGAAAAACAAGUUAGGCAUGAGGAAAUAUUGAUGCAAGAAUGCUAAAAAUGCAAGAAAUUCAAGAAGCGAAGAAUCUAUUCAAGAUUAGGAGUUCGUUUCCUUAAAUAUUAUGAUUUGUUAUUUCUUAUUUCUUAGUAAUUUAAUUCUUGUUUUAGUAGGAUUAUAUUUGCAGUUCUAGUCAAACUAUGAUUGUUAGUUGGUAUCCCAUUCUUACUAGAAUUCUUUUUUCAAUUUUAGUUAGGAUAGGUUUNNNNNNNNNNNNNNNNNNNNNNNNNNNNNNNNNNNNNNNNNNNNNNNNNNNNCAAUUUUAGUUAGGAUAGGUUUUCUUAGCCUUAUUCUUAUUCUAGUUUAAUUAGGAUUAGUUUUCCUUAACCUUACCAAUUUUACUCAUUGUAAGGCUUAUUUAAAGGGCUUAAUAUGCUGAAAAUAAACAUUAGUGAUUAGUUUUUCUAAGCUUUUGCUUCAAAAACGUGAUUUACUUUUUAUUUCAUUGUUCUUCCUUUAUUCAACACUUCUUGCAAUCUUGCGGGAUUGGGGAACGUGUGGGUGAGGUUUAUUUCCAUCUUAUAUUCUUCUAACUUGAGCUUGAAGAACGCUUUUGCUAGUUUUGUGAAAAACUUCUGCGGGGUGCUUGUAUUUUUCUCUCUUCUUUGUACUUAAGAUCAUUGAGGAACGUGUGGGCGAGGCUUUUUUCUAUCUUACAUUCAUCUAACGUGAGUUUGAAUAACACUUCCGUUAAUUUUGUGAAAAACUUUAGCAGGGUGCUUUUGUUUUUCUCUUCUUUGUACUUGAGAGGUGCAAAACCUAGAAAGUACGUCAAAUAUAUACACAUUUUGUGAGAUUUUGAUGUAUAUCCUACACCUAGCAUGUUUUAGAAUAGCAACCACAAGACAAUAGCCAAAUAAACAGCAAUACGUUCAGAAUCCCUCCAUCUUCUUGUUGAGACAUUAAUCGGGCAGAUAAGUUUUGGAAAGUAAGACAGCAAGAAAUCUGAAUAUUCGGUCAUUAAAUCUUGACUAAAGCCUCUAGAAUUGCCAAUAAAUAUCUCAUUCCCUUUUAGUCUUUUCGUAAUGUUAUUUUCGUUGAAGCCAAUCAAUCUUCAAGUUUGAGAAGGAAUGAAAUAAAGAGACUCUCAAAUGAUAUUUGAGUAAUCCGUUUUCUUUUACUUUUUUUUGGAUAACCUACUCCCCUAGGCAAGUGGUGCACAGUUCGAAACUCGGUGGAUAAUGGAGUCACCCCUCUACCCUUCUCCACUUUAAUACAGCUUUAUUUGUAAAAUAUUGGCCUGUAAUAAAUUUAAAUGGGGAACAUGAUCAGAAGGGAUUCAUAUAGCCGACCCCGAGUUAUUAGGGACUAAGUCGUCGGUGUUGUUGUCUAACAACAUGGUUAGAACAUACGACCUGCCCUGACCACACAUCACAUGUUUGAGUGAACCCUUCCCCUUAUUUUUUCAUCCUCUUCUAUUUCCCACUUUUCUCUUACUCUCAACUCAUCUCAGCCUGCUCAUGCUCUUAUUUAUUGAGCCCCAAAAACCAUACGGUCCAGGGCCAAUUUUUUGCCCACAACAUCCUCUCCUUUAGAACAAGAACACAUCAAGUUAGUUGAAAAGCCCGAAGCUAACUGCACUAAGUAGACCUUAACAACAGAGGUCUCUUCAACUGAGGAAUUUCUGUUAGUUCCAACAUAGGUUACCAACUAAUUUCAUGCAAUCACAAAAUUUUCUUACUGACCCCCAAAGUUUUCCUGCAAAAUAAUUUCAUAAAACUUCACAUGACUUGUUAAAAGAGAUAAUUUCAUAAAUUUAUGCACUAAUUAUCUCAUCAGAUAAGGCCCUUGAACGUCAGGCCAUCAAUCAUUAUAAGUAAAAUCCAUUAAUAUAUCUUGUAACUCACAACAAAUCACCUAAUUUCUUUGUAGAUUGAACAACCAAUGGCUGAGAAAUUUCUCUUAACAGAAAAUGCAUGUUUGAAAAGUUCAAUAAGUGGUACAAAUACUUGAAAUCGGAAUAUAAUGAGACAAAAUCCACAUCCCAUAAGACAAAAGCACAUUUAGAUAAGAAAGUUAUACGAGGCAACAACAACAACCACCCAGUAUAGUCCCACAAAGUGGGGUCUGGGAGGGUAAUAUGUAGACGGGCCUUACCCCUACCCGAAAGGGCAGAGAGGCCGUUUCCAAUCGACCCUCGGCUCAGUGAAGGAAAAACAACAACAAAAACAAAAACAAAAACAAAAG
RNAcentral lists this long non-coding RNA (2242 nucleotides) under Nicotiana benthamiana. RNAcentral describes it as "long non-coding RNA (NBEN_LNC034189)". Lineage: Eukaryota; Viridiplantae; Streptophyta; Magnoliopsida; Solanales; Solanaceae. The record is from RNAcentral.